UUUUUAUUUUAUUUUAUUUUAUUUUAUUUCAUUUUAUUUUAUUUUAUUUUUAUUUAUUUUAUUUUACUUUAUUUAACUUUAUUUUAUUUUUAUUUUAUUUUAUUUCAUUUCAUUUCAUUUCAUUUCAUUUCAUUUCAUUUUUAAUUUAUUAUUUCAUUUAAUUUCAUUUUGUUUCAUUUCGUUUCAUUUCAUUUUUUUUUUAUUUUAUUUUAUUUUAUUUUAUUUUAUUUUAUUUUAUUUUAUUUUAUUUCAUUUUAUUUUAUUUUAUUUUAUUUUAUUUUAUUUUAUUUUAUUUUAUUUCAUUUCAUUUAAUUUUAUUUCAUUUCUUUUCAUUUCAUUUCAUUUCAUUUCAUUUCAUUUCAUUUCAUUUCAUAUCAUUUUUAUUUUAUUUUACUUUAUUUUAAUUUAAUUAAAUUUUAUUUUAUUUUAAUUUCAUAUAUUUUAUUUUAUUUUUAUUUUUUCCAUGGAAACCCCAAAUCCUUUUUCAAACCCUUCCCAAAAUCUGGAAAACCGGGAUUAAUCUGGGAAUUAAGGAUCCCAAAAAUCCCGGAGCUGUCGGAAUUUGGAGAUUUGGGAUUUUCCCCGCCCGAAAAAAUUCCCAAAAUCUUCGGGAUCAGCUCGGAAUUCCGGGAGGAGAUGCAGGAAAGCUACGAGAGCGUCAUUUCCUUGGGUAAGAGCCCGAAUUCCCUCGGAUUUCCCCUCAAAUUCGGGAUCGAAUCCCUUUCGUUUUCGGAUUUUGGGAAAUUUUUCCGGUAUUUUUCCUGGAUUUCAAGAAAUUUUCCAGGUUUUUCUCGUAUUUUGGGAAAGUUUCCGUGAUUUUUUUCCCUGGAUUUCAGGGAAAUUUUCCAGGAUUUUCCCCCAGAUUUCGGAAAAAUUUUCCGGGAUUUUUUCCCUGGAUUUUGGGAAUUUUUCUGGGAUUUUUCCCCGAUUUUGGGAAAAUUUUCCAGGAUUUUUCCUGGAUUUCGUGGAAUUUUUCCGUGAUUUUUUCCCAAAUUUUUUUUUCCUGGAUUUCGUGGAAUUUUUCCGUGAUUUUUUCCCAAAUUUUUUCCUGGGAUUUUGGGGAAAAUUUCCAGGAUUUUUUCCCGGGAUUUCGGGGAAUUUUUCCAGGAUUUU
This 1113-nucleotide long non-coding RNA is filed under the name Cyanistes caeruleus (blue tit). Its description in RNAcentral is "lncRNA (ENSCCEG00000004745.1)". Lineage: Eukaryota; Metazoa; Chordata; Aves; Passeriformes; Paridae. The record is from RNAcentral.